This 261-nucleotide unclassified non-coding RNA is filed under the name Hevea brasiliensis (rubber tree). Lineage: Eukaryota; Viridiplantae; Streptophyta; Magnoliopsida; Malpighiales; Euphorbiaceae. The record is from RNAcentral.
GGGCGGUGUAGAGGCGGAGAGAGAUGUGAAGAACGGUUCAACGGCAUAAUUUUGCGGCUAAAAAAUGCGAGCCAUAAUAUAAUGGCAUUACAAACCCUAGUCAUGUCAUCAUCAUCUAUUUCUCUCUUGCAUCUUUCUUCCCUUUUCUCUUUUACCCAUUUCUUCCUAUUUUAGGGUUAGGGUUCCUCUUUCUCAUUCUUCUUGUUUGUUUAUCUUCAUUAUUGUAUUGUAUGUACAAAUGUGUGAUUGAAAUCAAACUCC